GUUUUCGUCGGGAUGAAUGAUCCUUCUAUGGGUGCAUUUACCGAAACCUCAGUGAACCAGAAAGAUGGUUGGCCAAACGACAAUAAAUAAAUUGGCCCCUUAGUUAUAUUUCUUAUAGAAUUCAACUGGGGCACUGGUCCUUUCGAAGGGCAACACCUUGAGUCUGCAGGGUCAUUCCAAACAGGAACCACCUGCAGCCUAAUAGCCGAAUUAGCUGUUAAGCUCACAGACUAAAUAACGGUGGGCGCCAGUGACCUCUCACGGCGUUUCAGAUAUAGUCGUAUCUUGACUCCAAAACUGUUAAGUAUGUGCACAUCUUUAACUGUGCUUACAAGGGGAGAAAAAAAAAUUGUUCCGUAGGUGAACCUGCGGAAGGAUCAUUA
Molecule: ribosomal RNA, 383 nt
Filed under: Pyrenula mamillana
Lineage: Eukaryota; Fungi; Ascomycota; Eurotiomycetes; Pyrenulales; Pyrenulaceae
Description: partial small subunit ribosomal RNA
Source: RNAcentral